UACGUAGGGGGCGAGCGUUGUCCGGAUUUAUUGGGCGUAAAGAGCUCGUAGGCGGUUCGAUAAGUCGGAUGUGAAAUCUCCACGCUCAACGUGGAGAGGCCAUUCGAUACUGUCGUGACUCGAGUCCGGUAGGGGAGUGUGGAAUUCCCGGUGUAGCGGUGAAAUGCGCAGAGAUCGGGAGGAACACCCGUAGCGAAGGCGGCACUCUGGACAUUUCCUGACGCUGAGGCACGAAAGCCAGGGGAGCAAACGGG
This 254-nucleotide ribosomal RNA is filed under the name uncultured bacterium. Its description in RNAcentral is "partial 16S ribosomal RNA". It matches the Rfam family "Bacterial small subunit ribosomal RNA", at positions 524 to 776 of the family's 1533-position model. The record is from RNAcentral.